UCCUCCAAAUCUCUGCUCUCCCUGUUCCUCCUGCCCUGCUCGCUGCGUGUGUGGUUCUGUGUGCACCGUGCGUCGUGCCUCGCAUGCCUCAUAUGCGGUUGGUGCGAGAAAGCAAUCCUAGAGCCCUCCCUCCUCCUUUCCAUCCACUCAUGUCAUGCCUCCUCCCCUUUCUCCCUAGCCGACGGUGGCUCCUCCCCGUGUGCCCACGGUCUCCAAUGCGCUCAACCCGGCCCACCUCAGUCCCCUCACCCUCUGGUCACCGUCCUCCCGUGCCCUCACCCGCUGGUGGCCCUCCCAUGCAUCUCGGGCUUGAUGGCUGCUUCCCCACCUCGCCCAUUCAGCUCCGCCAUCGCCUCCCUCCCUUGCUGAUAUCCAUCUUAUCUCCUUUUGCAGGGGCUUGUCCUUCCGUGGUGGUCAUACGCCGUUUGAGAUUGGAGGGAGACUAGGAGACCCUGGCGGAAGCGAGCCUGCUAGCAGAGGCUCCAGGGAUGCUGGGUGAUAGGGCCUAGUCCAUGCCCCGGUUGUGCUGCUGGGUGAUCUUAUUCAUCCUUCUUGUCAACGAGUUGUUCAUGUCUAGCGAGGAUUUUUAGGACGAGCCUUCCUAUCUAAAAUUAUCGGAUAAAUUCAACAUAUCUGUGGAAAUCUAGUUUUCUGCAGAUUCAUACGACUCUGAAUGUUAUUCCAUAACCGAUGACUCAAAGUGAUUAUACACUGAAACCGAAGCCUUUGGAAAAUGAAACAGAAACCUUACUUGAGAGCAGGCAGAGGCGUGGAACCAAUGGUGAUGUUGUUGUUGCCUGCUCUUCUAAACUGCUGCUUGUUCAUCGUUUGCUGUUUUGCCUAUCAAGCAGGAAGGUAACUACUCAAAGCAGUUGGCAAGACAAGCAUUCGAUGGAGCUCAAGCGUUGAUCUUGAAGGAAGGUAACUACUCAAAGGCAAAUAAAGAGAAGGCAGAUGUAUUGUUUUUUCUGGAGUACGGGAUAUGUAUUGUUACGAGUGAAGCCAUCCAUACAAGUCGGUAUAUUAAUAACCCCAUAUGUGGAAUUCAAGAUAUAGAGAAAUGUUCUUGUUCUGCUAAUCGGUUGCUUUACCAAAUGUACUGUAAAUGACGUUAUUAUUGUUCAAGAUAUAGAUAAAUGUUAUUGUUCUUCAUUGUAGUGGAUGAUAUCCAUUCCAAUUAUUGAGAUGAUGGAAGCACCACUUAGGAGUUUUGUCUCUGACCUAACGAAGCUGUUGAGGAAGAAGGGAUAAAUAAGUGCUGAGAAGACGGGAUAACUUAUCAAAUUCAGUUUGGUAUUACCCAUCAACAAGCUAACCGUGCUACUGGUGAAGGCUCAGUAGGCUCGCAAUCGCAGCGGAGCAUAGGGGUCUGGCACACGAAAGACGUGGUGUGGAGCUGGAUACUCUUUGUUGCGUUUGCGGGCGUCUGCUUGAAGUUGGCGGCCACCUUUUCCUUCGCUGUAAGGAAGUCAAAAAAGUUUGGCGAACCACCCAGCUAGAGGGUGUGAGACAGGAGCUGCUUUUAUGUCAAUCUCAGUUGGAGAUUCUUGAGCGUAUUUUUUGCACAACCGGAAAACAUCAAGCUUCAGGUCAUAUGCCUAUUGUGGAAGUGGUGGACUGAGGAAUAAUGGCAUGUUGAACGCAGACUAAGGCCUGAAGAAUUUAGUGCACAACUGUCUUUUGAUGUUGCUGAAUGGUGCCAGUUUUUUACGCCCUCUCCAAAGCCUGUUAUACAGGAUACGAGCAAGUGGAAGCCGCCACCUGACUUCGUCAAGAUCAACCUGGACGGUGCAUACUAUCCGGAAUCUGGUACGGGAGGUUGGGGCUGCAUUGCUAGAGCGCCGGACGGAGAUAUCCUAUUCGCAGCCGCUGGACCGCUCAGUAACUUGUCUGAACCGUUACAGGCUGAAAGCAAUGCGUUUUUGAAGGCGAUCGACCUUUCGGAAAAUUUGCCAUGGGCAAAGUCAUCUUUGAAACGGAUUGUCUAAAUCUGAAACAGGAUGUGUGUUCGGACGCCUGUGACGGCGCAGCUCUAAGAGCUUUAUUCAGAGAAGAAAAAUAUCAUCUCCGUUUGGGUUUCAUCGAGUACCGAGUGGAGUUCUCUCCCCGAAACUGUAACACACCAGCGCAUGUGCUAGCAAGUCUCGAUUCUCGGGAAGUUCAAAGUGACCAUACUCUGUGGAUUACCAAUUUUCCUGCUGAUGUAACCCGUGCAGUGGCCGGCGAUCUUGCCGCGACCACAUGUUAAUGGAAUGCAAGGUGUUUCAUAUAAAAAAA
Molecule: long non-coding RNA, 2277 nt
Organism: Triticum dicoccoides
Lineage: Eukaryota; Viridiplantae; Streptophyta; Magnoliopsida; Poales; Poaceae
Exons: 8
Source: RefSeq, a predicted model, not a curated record